This is a long non-coding RNA of Oncorhynchus kisutch (coho salmon), 1103 nucleotides long. RefSeq lists it as uncharacterized. The record is from RefSeq and is a predicted model, not a curated record. The transcript has 4 exons. Lineage: Eukaryota; Metazoa; Chordata; Actinopteri; Salmoniformes; Salmonidae.
CUGAGUAGCAGGCAGUUUACUUUGGGCACACUUUUCAUCCGGACGUGAAAAUACUGCCCCCUAGCCCAAAGAGGUUUUAAGUACUAUAUGUAUUUGCUGAAAGUAUUACUAUGUGAAUUACUAAUACUCAAUUGACCAUGUUUUGUCAGUAUUAAUAGGAAAGUAUUUAUGACAAUGCUAAUUGCACGUACGGACAAUACUCUGUGGAAGAGCAACGAGCCAAAUGGGGGUAACUACUCUUCUUCCAUUGUGUGCAUUACAUGCAUCAGGAAGUUGAAUAUAAUAAUAAUGGCAACUUUUUUGUAUUGCUCUUCGUAAGAUGAUGAUGCAAGUGAAGCACUCCAGAAAAAGACAAAUGAACCCAGACAAACCCAGCUUCCAGUGCCCCAGCUUCCACCAGCCCCUAGUGUUGCAGAUGCUGAGGACUUGAGACCAUGUGCCACCUCAAUCCGGAGCGACAUUUUCUCAGUUAGUCCAGGUGGCAGCCAUGAAGAAGCUGGCAAAGAGAGCAUCAGAAUCAGUUUUUUUUAGCCAUCAAGAUACUGAUUUCAAAAUCACAAAUAGCCUAUAUGUUACAAAAUGUUGUUUCUCUUGGAUUAUCAACGUCAAUUUCAAAUGAUCUUCAAGCAGUGGAGAUGAGGUUAAUAAUGGAACUGGAGAUGAUCUGUACAUAGUUCAAGAAUCCUCUGAACCAAGUUAAGACGGCCAUCUCAUUAAGAAUAAUGUUGUUUUAAUUCUAUAUGGGUCAUGCUUUGCUUUGGUCCUGUGUUCUCUUAUGGGUCAAUGAAUUUAAUUACAAUAUAGCAAUAAUGUUCUCGGCUCAAUUACUUAGAAGGGCAUGUGGUACCCGGUACAUAUUUGGGAGCCCAUAUAUGUAAUGUUCGUCGUCGGAAUGAGACCAAAGCGCAGCAUGGAAAGUGUUCAUGAUAUAAUGUUCACAAAAAACCCUCAAACAAAAUGACAAAAGGCGAAAACGAAAGUAUACAGUUCUGUCAGGGAAACAACCUAAACAGAAAACAACACCCCACAAAACCCAAACGGAAAAUGACAACAUAUAUGAUCCCCAAUCAGAGACAACGAUAGACAGCUGCCUCUGAUUGGGA